RNAcentral lists this ribosomal RNA (255 nucleotides) under uncultured bacterium. RNAcentral's name for it is "partial 16S ribosomal RNA". It matches the Rfam family "Bacterial small subunit ribosomal RNA", at positions 793 to 1055 of the family's 1533-position model. The record is from RNAcentral.
GUCCUAGCCUAACGAUGAACACUUGGUGUGGCGGGUACCCAAUCCCGCCGUGCCGGAGCUAACGCGUUAAGUGUUCCGCCUGGGAGUACGGUCGCAAGGCUGAACUCAAGGAAUUGACGGGCCCGCACAAGCGGUGGAGCAUGUGGUUCAAUUCGACGCAACGCGAAGAACCUUACCUGGGCUCGAAGCGCAGUGGACCGGGUGGAAACAUCCCUUCCCGCAAGGGCUGCUGCGUAGGUGCUGCAUGGCUGUCGU